Molecule: ribosomal RNA, 253 nt
Filed under: uncultured bacterium
Lineage: Bacteria
Description: partial 16S ribosomal RNA
Rfam family: Bacterial small subunit ribosomal RNA
Source: RNAcentral
UACAGAGGUCUCGAGCGUUAGGCGGAAUCACUGGGCUUAAAGCGUGUGUAGGUGGAUCGUUAAGUACCUUGUGAAAUCCCCCGGCUCAACCGGGGAACUGCUGGGUAUACUGGUGAUCUUGAGCGAUCUAGGGGCAGAUGGAACAAGUGGUGGAGCGGUGAAAUGCGUAGAUAUCACUUGGAACGCCAAAGGUGAAAACAGUCUGCUGGGGAUCUGCUGACGCUGAGACACGAAAGCCAGGGGAGCGAACGGG